UACGUAGGGUGCGAGCGUUAAUCGGAAUUACUGGGCGUAAAGCGUGCGCAGGCGGUUCGUUAAGUUCGUUGUGAAAGCCCCGGGCUCAACCUGGGAACUGCAAUGGAAACUGGCGGGCUUGAGUGUGGCAGAGGGGGGUGGAAUUCCGCGUGUAGCAGUGAAAUGCGUAGAGAUGCGGAGGAACACCGAUGGCGAAGGCAGCCCCCUGGGCCAACACUGACGCUCAGGCACGAAAGCCAGGGGAGCAAACGGG
RNAcentral lists this ribosomal RNA (253 nucleotides) under uncultured bacterium. Its description in RNAcentral is "partial 16S ribosomal RNA". It matches the Rfam family "Bacterial small subunit ribosomal RNA", at positions 524 to 776 of the family's 1533-position model. The record is from RNAcentral.